AGAAAAGUAACCGCCGCCCCGCGCAGGGGCGACGCUAAUAGACCGACACGAUCACAGGUAUUUCACGCCAACGCCAAGUCGCACGACAAAACCGCGCUAGCUAAUC
Molecule: non-coding RNA, 106 nt
Organism: Burkholderia vietnamiensis G4
Lineage: Bacteria; Pseudomonadati; Pseudomonadota; Betaproteobacteria; Burkholderiales; Burkholderiaceae
Source: Rfam